GAUGAACGCUGGCGGCGUGCCUAAUACAUGCAAGUCGAGCGAACAGACGAGGAGCUUGCUCCUUUGACGUUAGCGGCGGACGGGUGAGUAACACGUGGGUAACCUACCUAUAAGACUGGGAUAACUUCGGGAAACCGGAGCUAAUACCGGAUAAUAUUUCGAACCGCAUGGUUCGAUAGUGAAAGAUGGCUUUGCUAUCACUUAUAGAUGGACCUGCGCCGUAUUAGCUAGUUGGUAAGGUAACGGCUUACCAAGGCAACGAUACGUAGCCGACCUGAGAGGGUGAUCGGCCACACCGGAACUGAGACACGGUCCAGACUCCUACGGGAGGCAGCAGUAGGGAAUCUUCCGCAAUGGGCGAAAGCCUGACGGAGCAACGCCGCGUGAGUGAUGAAGGUCUUCGGAUCGUAAAACUCUGUUAUUAGGGAAGAACAAACGUGUAAGUAACUGUGCACGUCUUGACGGUACCUAAUCAGAAAGCCACGGCUAACUACGUG
RNAcentral lists this ribosomal RNA (497 nucleotides) under uncultured bacterium. Its description in RNAcentral is "partial 16S ribosomal RNA". It matches the Rfam family "Bacterial small subunit ribosomal RNA", at positions 28 to 507 of the family's 1533-position model. The record is from RNAcentral.